RNAcentral lists this ribosomal RNA (574 nucleotides) under Saccharomyces sp. RNAcentral's name for it is "eukaryotic LSU rRNA". It matches the Rfam family "Eukaryotic large subunit ribosomal RNA", at positions 62 to 649 of the family's 3401-position model. The record is from RNAcentral. Lineage: Eukaryota; Fungi; Ascomycota; Saccharomycetes; Saccharomycetales; Saccharomycetaceae.
AAACCAACAGGGAUUGCCUCAGUAACGGCGAGUGAAGCGGCAAAAGCUCAAAUUUGAAAUCUAGCACCUUCGGUGUUCGAGUUGUAAUUUGAAGAUGGUAACCUUGGGUUUGGCUCUUGUCUAUGUUCCUUGGAACAGGACGUCAUAGAGGGUGAGAAUCCCGUCUGAUGAGAUGCCCAUUCCUAUGUAAGGUGCUAUCGAAGAGUCGAGUUGUUUGGGAAUGCAGCUCUAAGUGGGUGGUAAAUUCCAUCUAAAGCUAAAUAUUGGCGAGAGACCGAUAGCGAACAAGUACAGUGAUGGAAAGAUGAAAAGAACUUUGAAAAGAGAGUGAAAAAGUACGUGAAAUUGUUGAAAGGGAAGGGCAUUAGAUCAGACUUGGUGUUUUACGAUUAUCUUCUCUUCUUGAGCUGUGCACUCGUAUUUCACUGGGCCAGCAUCGAUUCGGAUGGCAAGAUAAUGGCAGUUGAAUGUGGCUUCACUUCGGUGGAGUGUUAUAGCUUCUGCUGAUAUUGCCUGUCUGGAUCGAGGGCUGCGUCUUUUGACUAGGAUGCUGGCGUAAUGAUCUAAUGCCGCC